AAGUAUAAAGGUCCAGCCUGCCCAGUGAACUAGCUUUCAACGGCCGCGGUAUCCUAACCGUGCAAAGGUAGCGUAAUCACUUGUCCUCUAAUUAAGGGCUCGUAUGAACGGCCACAUGAGGGCCUAACUGUCUCAUACAAUAAGUCAAUGAAACUGAACUUUCAGUCCAAAAGCUGAAAUAACCACAUAAGACGAGAAGACCCCGCGGAGCUUCAAGUAGCCCACUACCGAAAACUACAAUGGCACCCAACGCCACUAAACUUCACCCAUAGCCGGGCACUUUAAGUUGGGGCGACUACGGAGCAAAACCAAACCUCCACGGCAGGACUAAACACCCACACGAGGCCUACAAGCCAAACGUAACACACACAGACCCAGUCAAACUGACCAUCGAACCAAGUUACCCCGGGGAUAACAGCGCCAUCCCCCCUUAGAGUCCUUAUCGCAGGGGGGGCUUACGACCUCGAUGUUGGAUCAGGGCCCCCAGGCGGUGCAGCCGCUGCCAACGGUUCGUUUGUUCAAC
This 523-nucleotide ribosomal RNA is filed under the name Paroedura sp. 1 EG-2007. RNAcentral describes it as "partial 16S ribosomal RNA". It matches the Rfam family "Bacterial large subunit ribosomal RNA", at positions 1841 to 2585 of the family's 2925-position model. Lineage: Eukaryota; Metazoa; Chordata; Lepidosauria; Squamata; Gekkonidae. The record is from RNAcentral.